Gossypium raimondii (Peruvian cotton) is the source of this 1607-nucleotide RNA transcript. RefSeq lists it as uncharacterized. NCBI's taxonomy places the organism in Eukaryota, Viridiplantae, Streptophyta, Magnoliopsida, Malvales, Malvaceae. The transcript is spliced from 6 exons. The record is from RefSeq and is a predicted model, not a curated record.
AACCCCUAAUUUCCCACAUCCAAGAAAAAAAACCCAAAAGCUUAUUCAAUCCUUUGGAUUUUGUGUUGAUUGACUAGGUUUUUACUUUCCCCCCUAAAAUCGGUAUCCUCAAAACACCUAAUUCUUACUGAGCAACCCCUAAAAUCAGUUCUUAAAUUUCAUCACCUCUUUCUUCUUCUUCUUCUUCUUCUUUUUAUAUCUUUCUUUACUUCUUGUUUAUAUAUAGAGAGCUGAAGCCAGUUCUGGGUGGCUUCUUCACUCUCUUUUCCAUGCCCCAAGAUCUUUUGUUUUUUUUUGUAAACAAACCAACAAACCCAAACUCACAAGGGUUUUUUUAUCUUUUCCUCCAACUUCAAAUUUCAACUCCAAUUAUUGCAGGCGUUCUGUGAUGCUUGUUCUUUGGUUUCUGUUCUUUUUAACUCCCUCGGUCUCGCCUUCAAAUUCGCGGAGAUGGAGUACGUUGCCAAGUCAAAGUGGGAAUUAUUGGAUGCUCUUUGCAACUGGCCAUUACUGCUCUGAAGAAAGGGGCAUACCUGCUGAAGUACGGAAGAAGAGGAAAACCAAAAUUUUGCCCCUUCCGCCUUUCAAAUGUCCAAUCUACAUCUGAUGGAGCUGAUUCCACUCUUUCAAACCCCCUGUGCGAGGAGUCUGCUCAAAAUUCUUCAAAAUACUCUAACAGACAGAGGUUUGCUUUUAUUUUCACUUUGGACAUUAACUGUAUUGUUAAUGAUGCUGACAAUUCUAGCUGGAUUUUCAAUUGUCGGCAUACAUCCACCACCUGCCUUUGGCUCAUCGCCUAAUCUUGAAACCCUUGCACUUGAAGCAAAUAAGUCUAAGGAUCAAGAUGGAGAUAGUUCUUUACUUGACAGUUCACAUCUUUCCCGGUAUUUAUUUAUGCCUUAACAUGUCCUUAGGUGAGGGCUGAUUGUUUAUACAAAAAUUUUGGUUAAGUUAGUGGUAGUUUGGUUUUUUUGGACUUGAUCAUCAUAUACUUUUUGAAUAUUAUGUAUUGGAUCUUUAAAUUAUUUAGGAGUGCAUUAACUGAUAAGGUCCUGUCAAAGUUCAACUUUCUUACCUCAGAGCAAUGCUUCACCACCAUCUUUAAUUGACUUCAGUUUUAGGCCCAUGCAUGAAGUUACAUUUUCAACAGAAGACAAACCAAAACUUCUUAGUCAGGUUUGAUUGUGGCAUGUUUAUGUAUUCUAUAUAUCAACUUCUAUAGCAGAGGCUUAAGUCCUUGUUUUGAGCAGGAACACAUGCCCUAUGCCCUAUUUUCGUUUAAGGACCGCCAAGGAAAUUCUGAAACUGAAAGUUGAUUGAUCGGAUGUGUAUGCCAGCUUUCAUCAACUACAUUCGAAGGCCUUAAUAGGAAUUGAAAUGGUGCGCAAAGAGAUUGCUUCUUCUGAUCUGAUUUUUCGAUAUAAAUACUGGACAAAGUAUGGAUAUUUUACUGCUGUUAGUAAAAUAGGAUUCUCUUCUUAGGAUCUUAGUUUCUUCACUUGUAUUAGACUCAACAAUGGCUUGCAUUGCAUUGGUAUUGAUUUUACCAAAAUUUCGAGUUUUACAAUUAUCUAUUUUUAUUAAUUAUUUACAUUUUCUCACUUUUA